RNAcentral lists this ribosomal RNA (94 nucleotides) under Thermoleophilia bacterium. Lineage: Bacteria; Bacillati; Actinomycetota; Thermoleophilia. The record is from RNAcentral.
AUUGGUGAGGAAACACCUCUUCCCAUUCCGAACAGAGAAGUUAAGCCCGUCGAGGCCGAUGGUAUUUGGGGGGAGAGCCCCUGGGAGAGUAGGA